Molecule: ribosomal RNA, 504 nt
Filed under: Campsicnemus amblytylus
Lineage: Eukaryota; Metazoa; Arthropoda; Insecta; Diptera; Dolichopodidae
Description: partial 16S ribosomal RNA
Source: RNAcentral
UAACAAAAACAUGUCUUUUUGAAUUUAAAUAUAAAGUCUAAUCUGCCCACUGAUAAAUUAUUUAAUGGCCGCAGUAUUUUAACUGUGCAAAGGUAGCAUAAUAAUUAGUCUUUUAAUUGAAGGCUUGUAUGAAUGAUUGGACGAGAUAUAAACUGUCUCAUAAAAAUUUUUUUUAGAAUUUAAUUUUUUAGUUAAAAAGCUAAAAUAAAUUUAAAAGACGAGAAGACCCCAUAGAUCUUUAUAUUUGUUUUAUUAUUAUUGUUAUUUAGUUUUUUUAUAAAUUAAUAAAUAAAAAUAUUUUGUUGGGGUGACAUUGAAAUUUAAUAAACUUUCAAAAAUUUAAUAACAUUGAUUUAUGAAUUUAUGGUCCUUUAUUAUUGAUUAAAAAUUUAAGUUACCUUGGGGAUAACAGCGUAAUUAUUUUGGAGAGUUCAUAUCGAUAAAAUAGAUUGCGACCUCGAUGUUGGAUUAAGAUUAAUUUUAGAUGUAGCAGUUAAAAUAUAA